RNAcentral lists this ribosomal RNA (253 nucleotides) under uncultured bacterium. RNAcentral describes it as "partial 16S ribosomal RNA". It matches the Rfam family "Bacterial small subunit ribosomal RNA", at positions 524 to 776 of the family's 1533-position model. The record is from RNAcentral.
UACGUAGGGGGCAAGCGUUGUCCGGAUUUAUUGGGCGUAAAGAGCGUGUAGGCGGUUUGGUAGGUCCGUUGUGAAAACUCGAGGCUCAACCUCGAGACGCCGGCGGAAACCAUCAGGCUAGAGUCCGGAAGAGGAGAGUGGAAUUCCUGGUGUAGCGGUGAAAUGCGCAGAUAUCAGGAGGAACACCAGCGGCGAAGGCGGCGCUCUGGGCCGGUACUGACACUGAGGAGCGAAAGCGUGGGUAGCAAACAGG